Molecule: ribosomal RNA, 1832 nt
Filed under: Paulinella micropora
Lineage: Eukaryota; Cercozoa; Imbricatea; Euglyphida; Paulinellidae
Description: LSU rRNA
Rfam family: Bacterial large subunit ribosomal RNA
Source: RNAcentral
GGUUAAGCUACAAAGGGCUCACGGUGGAUACCUUGGCACACAGAGGCGAUGAAGGACGUGGUUACCUGCGAUAAGUCUCGGGGAGCUGGAAACACGCUUUGAUCCGGGAAUUUCCGAAUGGGGCAACCCUUAGAACGACCAACUCAAUAAAUAGGUUGGUUCGAGCCAACCCAGCGAACUGAAACAUCUUAGUAGCUGGAGGAAAAGAAAGUAAAAACGACUCCCCAAGUAGCGGCGAGCGAACGGGGAAUAGCCCAAACCAACGGUUGCGACUGUUGGGGUUGUGGGACAGUAACAUGGAUUUUGGAUACUAGUAGAAGCGCUUGAAUGGCGCGCCAUAGAGGGUGAAAGCCCCGUAUACGAAAGUUGAAUUAACCUAGCUGUAUCCCGAGUAGCACGGAGCACGUGGAAUUCCGUGUGAAUCUGCGAGGACCACCUCGUAAGGCUAAGUACUACUGUGUGACCGAUAGUGAAGCAGUACCGCGAGGGAAAGGUGAAAAGAACCCCGGGAGGGGAGUGAAAUAGAACAUGAAACCGUGAGCUUACAAGCAAUGGGAGCCCGACUUAUCGGGUGACUGUGUGCCUGUUGAAGAAUGAGCCGGCGACUUAUAGGUACUGGCAGGUUAAGGGGAAAAUCCCGGAGCCAUAGCGAAAGCGAGUCUGAAUAGGGCGAUAGUCAGUGUUUAUAGACCCGAACCCGGGUGAUCUAACCAUGGCCAGGAUGAAGCUUGGGUGAUACCAAGUGGAGGUCCGAACCGACUGAUGUUGAAAAAUCAGCGGAUGAGCUGUGGUUAGGGGUGAAAUGCCAAUCGAACCCGGAGCUAGCUGGUUCUCCCCGAAAUACGUUGAGGCGUAGCGUCUAGUGCUCCAGCAGGGGGGUAAAGCCACUGUUUCGGUGCGGGCUGCGAAAGCGGUACCAAAUCGAUACAAACUCUGAAUACCCUGUGUGUAACUAGGCAGUCAGACUGUGGGGGAUAAGCUCCAUGGUCAAGAGGGAAACAGCCCAGACCGCCAGCUAAGGUCCCUAAAUAAACGCUAAGUGAUAAAGGAGGUGGGAUUGCACAGACAACCAGGAGGUUUGCUUAGAAGCAGCCAUCCUCAAAGGAGUGCGUAAUAGCUCACUGGUCGAGCGAUCCUGCGCCGAAAAUGAACGGGGCUAAGCGUUUUACCGAAGCUGCGGAUUCUAUGAAUGGUAGGGGAGCGUUCCAUGUGGGGUGAAGCGUUAGCGUAAGCGGGCGUGGACUGCAUGGAAGUGAGAAUGUCGGCUUGAGUAGCGAAAACAUGGGUGAGAAUCCCAUGCCCCGAAACCCUAAGGGUUCCUUCGGUAGGCUCGUCCACGAAGGGUUAGUCUGGACCUAAGGCGAGGUCGAAAGGCGUAGUCGAUGGAUAACAGGUCAACAUUCCUGUACUAACUGUAUUUGGGAAGGGGGACGGAGAAGGCUAGCCAAGCCAGAUGUUGGUUACUGGUUCAAACAUACGAGGUGUUGAGGAUCGGCGAAAACGAUCUGAGCUAAGUUGUGAGUACGAACUGCCACGGCAGUGAAGUUGGUGAUGUCAUGCUUCCAAGAAAAGCCCUAUACCCGUUAAGAUACAGUUACCAGUACCCGAAACCGACACAGGUGGGGUGGUAGAGAAUACCGAGGGGCGCGAGAUAACUCUCUCUAAGGAACUCGGCAAAAUGGCCCCGUAACUUCGGGAGAAGGGGUGCCAGCUUACGCUGGUCGCAGUGAAGAGGCCCAAGCGACUGUUUACCAAAAACACAGGUCUCCGCUAAGUCGCAAGACGAUGUAUGGGGGCUGACGCCUGCCCAGUGCCGGAAGGUUAAGGAAGUU